CGCCUGGUCGCGCGCUCGACCCCGCCGCCCCUGAGCCCCCGGCCGCGCCUCGGUUCCGGCACGCCGACCCCGGAGCGCUGCGCCCCGAGGGGACACAAGGCGGCGGCCCCGGCGCCGGCUUCUUCAGGAGCCACUUCUGCGCCUCGGCCAGGUUUAUUCUACUCCUUCCUCCCGGUGGCGGAUCCUCCCAGGAGAGAGCGCUGCAAACUGGGCGGCAGCUCGCGGCACCGGCAACCCCUCCCAGGGGUGGGGACAGCCACGCACGUUAUUCUGUCAGGAUCGGCUCGGCAAGAGCCCCGGCGC
This 303-nucleotide long non-coding RNA is filed under the name Marmota monax (woodchuck). Lineage: Eukaryota; Metazoa; Chordata; Mammalia; Rodentia; Sciuridae. The record is from RNAcentral.